RNAcentral lists this ribosomal RNA (527 nucleotides) under Rhodotorula sp. 4 GAMM-2015. Its description in RNAcentral is "eukaryotic LSU rRNA". It matches the Rfam family "Eukaryotic large subunit ribosomal RNA", at positions 70 to 609 of the family's 3401-position model. The record is from RNAcentral. Lineage: Eukaryota; Fungi; Basidiomycota; Microbotryomycetes; Sporidiobolales; Sporidiobolaceae.
AAGGAUUCCCCUAGUAGCGGCGAGCGAAGCGGGAAGAGCUCAAAUUUAUAAUCUGGCACUUUCGGUGUCCGAGUUGUAAUCUCUAGAAAUGUUUUCCGCGCUGGACCGCACACAAGUCUGUUGGAAUACAGCGGCAUAGUGGUGAGACCCCCGUAUAUGGUGCGGAUGCCCAGCGCUUUGUGAUACAUUUUCGAAGAGUCGAGUUGUUUGGGAAUGCAGCUCAGAUUGGGUGGUAAAUUCCAUCUAAAGCUAAAUAUUGGCGAGAGACCGAUAGCGAACAAGUACCGUGAGGGAAAGAUGAAAAGCACUUUGGAAAGAGAGUUAACAGUACGUGAAAUUGUUGGAAGGGAAACGCUUGAAGUCAGACUUGCUUGCCGAGCAAUCGGUUUGCAGGCCAGCAUCAUUUUUCCGGGAUGGAUAAUGGUAGAGAGAAGGUAGCAGGUUCUCGGCUGUGUUAUAGCUCUCUACUGGAUACAUCUUGGGGGACUGAGGAGCGCAGUGUGCCUUACGGCGGGGGUUUCGACCUC